This is a long non-coding RNA of Carassius auratus (goldfish), 482 nucleotides long. RefSeq lists it as uncharacterized. The record is from RefSeq and is a predicted model, not a curated record. Lineage: Eukaryota; Metazoa; Chordata; Actinopteri; Cypriniformes; Cyprinidae. The transcript is spliced from 3 exons.
GUCCACCUGUGUGCGAGGCUAAGGAGCACAUGUAUUAUUGAGCUCUCCCUGUAAUUGACUCUGUGUGCCAGAGAGGGAGAAGCGGUCGCCUUUUGAUCCACUGAUUAUUUCUUCUCACUACAGUAAAGGAAAGUGCUAAAUCUCACCGAAGAGUGGUCGUGUGGUCUCUGUGUGUGUGAGGGUGACCUGUCCAGACAUGCUACAUAAAUUUGGUGCCGUGACCCGGAUUCGCCAGAUCUGCAGUAGCUGAUCGCUGGGGUUUGACAACGCCGAAUCACAACGCUUCUGAAAUCAUCGGACAAAGACUCUUCAUCGUUGACGUUUUGCUGGUGGUGUCUGGACGUGGAACUGAGUAACUGAACUCUCGCUUUACAUUACUCACACAUUGGACUUUACACUUUGCGCAUAUUUGAAGGUUUCCUUUUUUUUUUAUUUGUUUUCUUUAUUUCUGUAUUUAAAAGUGAAUAACAGUGAAGUCAUUU